UAUCUCUGUAGAGUCUGCAUAUCAAUAAGCGGAGGAAAAGAAACUAACAAGGAUUCCCUUAGUAACGGCGAGUGAAGCGGGAAGAGCUCAAAUUUGAAAUCUUCAAGGUUCUACCUUGACGAAUUGUAGUUUAAAGAAGUGUUUUCUGUUAGAUGAGUAGCAAAAGUUCCUUGGAAUGGGACAUCAUAGAGGGUGAGAAUCCCGUAUUUGGUUAUUCAUUCUAGCUUUGUGAUACACUUUCAAAGAGUCGGAUUGUUUGGGAAUGCAGUCCAAAAUGGGUGGUAAAUUUCAUCUAAAGCUAAAUAUUGGCGAGAGACCGAUAGCGAACAAGUACCGUGAGGGAAAGAUGAAAAGAACUUUGAAAAGGAGAGUUAAACAGUACGUGAAAUUGUCAAAAGGGAAGCGUUUGACACCAGUGUUGUUUUCUCGAAAAUCAAUUAAAAAAGGCAGGAUUUUGUGUUGUAUUGACCUUUAUCAAGCUUUCUUCACUCUUUUCAUUGUCUUUUUUAAUGCACUUUUCGUUUAACAAGUCAACAUCAGUUUCUUUUGUUGUAAAAAGGUCAUUGGAAGGUGGCUUUCUUUUCGGAGAAAGUGUUUAUAGCCUUUGACUUCUGCAAUCGGAGAGACUGAGGUCUGCAGCGUAGAUCCUUCUGGAUUAGAUUCAUUUGUGCUAAGUUACAACCGUUUAUAGACAACUUGUUGACUAUAUUCGAUCCUGUAGCUUACUCGCUUAUGUAAUUUUACCUACGCUUAGGAUGUUGAAGAUGUAGCACAUCAU
This 778-nucleotide ribosomal RNA is filed under the name uncultured Neocallimastigales. Its description in RNAcentral is "partial large subunit ribosomal RNA". It matches the Rfam family "Eukaryotic large subunit ribosomal RNA", at positions 24 to 635 of the family's 3401-position model. Lineage: Eukaryota; Fungi; Neocallimastigomycota; Neocallimastigomycetes; Neocallimastigales. The record is from RNAcentral.